This 793-nucleotide long non-coding RNA is filed under the name Marmota monax (woodchuck). Lineage: Eukaryota; Metazoa; Chordata; Mammalia; Rodentia; Sciuridae. The record is from RNAcentral.
UCUUCUUGUGUAUGUAGAAUUCCAUAGUGAAUCUUCUACACUGGCAGGUUGGUUGUCAUAGUUUAUUUUAGUUUAUUCUUGUCUUGAAAGCUGUUUAUUUCUGAAGAAUAACUUUGAUGCAGAUAACAAAGUAGGCUGGCAGUACUGAAGUAAGACAGAUAAGACUGGACACCAGAGGAAUUAGCAAAAUGCAGGUUUAUUGUCUGCAGCUUGUCCAGAGGGGGCUUUCACCUGAAACAAAUUCUCUCUAUGAAUGCUGAGUCUAGACAUUUGUUGAGCUUUAUACCCGGUGGUGUGGAAAUGGGAGCCUGGAAGUAUACAUUUUGCAGGGGUCUACGUGAAAGUUAUUUUUUUUUUCUGUGAGUUCUCAGAAGUUACCUAUUGUCUCAUUUCCUAGAACUGUCAGGGGUUUUACAGAUUAUACCACAAAAGCAGAGUACAUUCACUAAGUCCAGGGAUAAAUUCAGUUUUUUCAAGACAGAGCAGAUCAACAGAAAAUAGGGUGUAUAACAACAUUUGAGUCAUUUUGUAGAGAUCUUAGCUAAUACAUUGUAAACAAGAACAGUUGUGGUGAAGGUCUCUGGGGAAGCUUAAUGAAGAUGCAUUUGUGGAAGAGGGGGUGCCACUGUAAUAUUUCUAUUUUAGUGCUUGACAUAUAUUAUUGCAUGUCCUGCUGGCCCUUAGAGUUAUCCAGAUGCAUUACCAUUUACCAAUAACUUGGUGCUUCUCUCUUGAAUUUGUAAAAAUCUUUCUUUGCUCGGAAUUUUGGCAUUUUAACCAAAAUAUAAUGUAG